UGGGNGNGUNCCUNGAUAGUGGGGGAUAGCUCGGGGNAACUCGAAUUAAUACCGCAUAUGACCUACGGGAGAAAGGGGGCAACUUGUUGCUCUCGCUAUUAGAUGAGCCUAAGUCGGAUUAGCUAGAUGGUGGGGUAAAGGCCUACCAUGGCGACGAUCUGUAGCUGGUCUGAGAGGAUGAUCAGCCACACCGGGACUGAGACACGGCCCGGACUCCUACGGGAGGCAGCAGUGGGGAAUAUUGGACAAUGGGGGAAACCCUGAUCCAGCCAUGCCGCGUGUGUGAAGAAGGCCUUUUGGUUGUAAAGCACUUUAAGCAGUGAAGAAGACUCUUCGGUUAAUACCCGGAGACGAUGACAUUAGCUGCAGAAUAAGCACCGGCUAACUCUGUGCCAGCAGCCGCGGUAAUACAGAGGGUGCAAGCGUUAAUCGGAAUUACUGGGCGUAAAGCGAGCGUAGGUGGCUUGAUAAGUCAGAUGUGAAAUCCCCGGGCUUAACCUGGGAACUGCAUCUGAUACUGUCAGGCUAGAGUAGGUGAGAGGAAGGUAGAAUUCCAGGUGUAGCGGUGAAAUGCGUAGAGAUCUGGAGGAAUACCGAUGGCGAAGGCAGCCUUCUGGCAUCAUACUGACACUGAGGCUCGAAAGCGUGGGUAGCAAACAGGAUUAGAUACCCUGGUAGUCCACGCCGUAAACGAUGUCUACUAGUCGUUGGGUCCCUUGAGGACUUAGUGACGCAGCUAACGCAAUAAGUAGACCGCCUGGGGAGUACGGCCGCAAGGUUAAAACUCAAAUGAAUUGACGGGGGCCCGCACAAGCGGUGGAGCAUGUGGUUUAAUUCGAUGCAACGCGAAGAACCUUACCUGGUCUUGACAUAUCUAGAAUCCUGCAGAGAUGCGGGAGUGCCUUCGGGAAUUAGAAUACAGGUGCUGCAUGGCUGUCGUCAGCUCGUGUCGUGAGAUGUUGGGUUAAGUCCCGCAACGAGCGCAACCCUUGUCCUUAGUUACCAGCGGGUUAAGCCGGGAACUCUAAGGAUACUGCCAGUGACAAACUGGAGGAAGGCGGGGACGACGUCAAGUCAUCAUGGCCCUUACGACCAGGGCUACACACGUGCUACAAUGGUAGGUACAGAGGGCAGCUACACAGCGAUGUGAUGCGAAUCUCAAAAAGCCUAUCGUAGUCC
This 1179-nucleotide ribosomal RNA is filed under the name uncultured Psychrobacter sp. RNAcentral's name for it is "bacterial SSU rRNA". It matches the Rfam family "Bacterial small subunit ribosomal RNA", at positions 118 to 1294 of the family's 1533-position model. Lineage: Bacteria; Pseudomonadati; Pseudomonadota; Gammaproteobacteria; Moraxellales; Moraxellaceae. The record is from RNAcentral.